This 553-nucleotide ribosomal RNA is filed under the name Achromobacter sp. 110609_136_C_F3. Its description in RNAcentral is "bacterial SSU rRNA". It matches the Rfam family "Bacterial small subunit ribosomal RNA", at positions 23 to 571 of the family's 1533-position model. The record is from RNAcentral. Lineage: Bacteria; Pseudomonadati; Pseudomonadota; Betaproteobacteria; Burkholderiales; Alcaligenaceae.
CUCAGAUUGAACGCUAGCGGGAUGCCUUACACAUGCAAGUCGAACGGCAGCACGGACUUCGGUCUGGUGGCGAGUGGCGAACGGGUGAGUAAUGUAUCGGAACGUGCCUAGUAGCGGGGGAUAACUACGCGAAAGCGUAGCUAAUACCGCAUACGCCCUACGGGGGAAAGCAGGGGAUCGCAAGACCUUGCACUAUUAGAGCGGCCGAUAUCGGAUUAGCUAGUUGGUGGGGUAACGGCUCACCAAGGCGACGAUCCGUAGCUGGUUUGAGAGGACGACCAGCCACACUGGGACUGAGACACGGCCCAGACUCCUACGGGAGGCAGCAGUGGGGAAUUUUGGACAAUGGGGGAAACCCUGAUCCAGCCAUCCCGCGUGUGCGAUGAAGGCCUUCGGGUUGUAAAGCACUUUUGGCAGGAAAGAAACGUCAUGGGUUAAUACCCCGUGAAACUGACGGUACCUGCAGAAUAAGCACCGGCUAACUACGUGCCAGCAGCCGCGGUAAUACGUAGGGUGCAAGCGUUAAUCGGAAUUACUGGGCGUAAAGCGUGCG